This is a long non-coding RNA of Manacus vitellinus (golden-collared manakin), 506 nucleotides long. RefSeq lists it as uncharacterized. The record is from RefSeq and is a predicted model, not a curated record. The transcript has 3 exons. NCBI's taxonomy places the organism in Eukaryota, Metazoa, Chordata, Aves, Passeriformes, Pipridae.
CGUCCCUGGCUCUCACAAAGCCCAGCAAAGGCCCUGGGGUGGAUCAUAGGGGAGCAGCAGGGCUCAGCCCUUGUUCCAGCAAACCCCAGGGAAGGCAAAGGCUUGGCAGUUCACAGCCUCCUGUCUCUCUUGGCUGCCCCCCCAGAUCUUCUCAACUGCCUUCUCUUCUCUAGUCCUGUGCCCACCCCAUAGAUUUUGCUCCCCUUUUCCCUUGCAUUGCAGAAUGAACCCUGAGAAAAAGACCUGGGAGAGAAGAGGCAUGGAAUUCCUGGGAGGAGCUGUUGCUACGGUUGCUGUAGAGCUGUUCAUAGGGGCCAUAAUAAAGAUGUGGAGCCAAGCAGAAAAGACAGAGAAGGGAAAUACCUCAAAGGCUCAGGGAUGCGGGACGGAGGAGACCCUUCAGCAGCUCUGCAAAGAAAUGAAAGCUAUGCGUGAAGAUCUCCAAAAGGGCAGGAGUCCACUAAGUGUGAUAUUCUGCUGUUUAGAGCAGACCUGAACAAGGAACA